UGCUUAACACAUGCAAGUGGAGCGACGAACCUUUUUGGGGCAAAGCCGCGAACGGGUGAGUAACACGUGGGUAAUCUACCCCGAAGACUGGAAUAACCCGAGGAAACUCGGGCUAAUACCGGAUGUGCUCCCUCUCCAUCAGGAGAGUGAGUAAAGGUAGCUUCGGCUAUCCGCUUUGGGAGGGGCCCGCGGUCCAUUAGCUUGUUGGUGAGGUGACGGCUUACCAAGGCUACGAUGGAUAGCUGGUCUGAGAGGACGAUCAGCCACACUGGAACUGAGACACGGUCCAGACUCCUACGGGAGGCAGCAGUGGGGAAUCUUGCACAAUGGGCGACAGCCUGAUGCAGCAAUGCCGCGUGAGGGAAGACGGCCUUCGGGUUGUAAACCGC
Molecule: ribosomal RNA, 389 nt
Filed under: uncultured organism
Description: bacterial SSU rRNA
Rfam family: Bacterial small subunit ribosomal RNA
Source: RNAcentral